Molecule: small RNA, 28 nt
Filed under: Bombyx mori (domestic silkworm)
Lineage: Eukaryota; Metazoa; Arthropoda; Insecta; Lepidoptera; Bombycidae
Description: ovarian small RNA-18377
Source: RNAcentral
UAAAGGUGGAUCAACACUUUCGACCUGC